GCCCUAGAUAAUAUCUAAGGUGUAACCUGCCCAAUGGUUUUUAAUUAAGAAUUAAUAAAAGUUAUUUAAUAGAACUUAAAGGACGCAGUAACCUUGACUGUGAUAAUGUAGCAUAAUCACUCGCCAUUUAAUUGAUGGAUAGUAUGAAUGGUUGAACGAAUAUUCCACUGUCUUAAAGAGAAACACUAAAAAAUUGAAAUAAUAGUUAAGAUGCUAUUUAAAAUUGUAAGACGAAAAGACCCUAUAGAGCUUAACUAUAAUCUCUCUAACAUACCAAAAAAUAAAUUCAAAGUCUAGAGAGAGCGGUAGUUUAGUUGGGGCGACUGUCUUCUAGAAUAAACGAAGACAAGCGAAGUUAAUAAAGAACUUAUUGUAUAACAUAUAAAUUUAACAAUUACAAAAGUAGGCUAUAAUGACCCGUUAUGUAUUUAUAAUAAUCAUAACGAUCAAUAAAUAAAAGCUACCUUAGGGAUAACAGGAUAAUUUUAUUUUAGAGAUCAUAUCGAAGAUAAAGUUUGUCACCUCUAUGUUGAAUUAAGAUAUCCUGGCAAUGCAGAAGUUGUCAAAGGUAGGUCUGUUCGACCUUUAAAAUCUU
RNAcentral lists this ribosomal RNA (595 nucleotides) under Laodicea undulata. RNAcentral describes it as "partial large subunit ribosomal RNA". It matches the Rfam family "Bacterial large subunit ribosomal RNA", at positions 1833 to 2597 of the family's 2925-position model. The record is from RNAcentral. Lineage: Eukaryota; Metazoa; Cnidaria; Hydrozoa; Leptothecata; Laodiceidae.